Molecule: long non-coding RNA, 2115 nt
Organism: Takifugu rubripes (torafugu)
Lineage: Eukaryota; Metazoa; Chordata; Actinopteri; Tetraodontiformes; Tetraodontidae
Source: Ensembl
GCACUAAGACAACACCAGGAACACAAGUCACCACUGGGCCAGUUACUGCCUCUACAACUGCUGUUGUUGAAACCACCACCACAGUUUGAAGUGGCAACAACCGCAAGUCCAGAAACAACAGUUGUUACAUCCACACCAUCUGUUGUCACCACAACCGUAAAAGCUACAGGAUCAACAACGCAGGGAACCACAACCCAGCCUGGACAGACCACAGCUUCAAAAGAAACAACUGUAAGCACUAAGACAACACCAGGAACACAAGUCACCACUGGGCCAGUUACUGCCUCUACAACUGCUGUUGUUGAAACCACCACCACAGUUGGAAGUGGCACAACCGCAAGUCCAGAAACAACAGUUGUUACAUCCACACCAUCUGUUGUCACCACAACCGUAAAAGCUACAGGAUCAACAACGCAGGGAACCACAACCCAGCCUGGACAGACCACAGCUUCAAAAGAAACAACUGUAAGCAGUAAGACAACACCAGGAACACAAGUCACCACUGGGCCAGUUACUGUCUCUACAACUGCUGUUGUUGAAACCACCACCACAGUUGGAAGUGGCACAACCGCAAGUCCAGAAACAACAGUUGUUACAUCCACACCAUCUGUUGUCACCACAACCGUAAAAGCUACAGGAACAACAACGCAGGGAACCACAACCCAGCCUGGACAGACCACAGCUUCAAAAGAAACAACUGUAAGCAGUAAGACAACACCAGGAACACAAGUCACCACUGGGCCAGUUACUGCCUCUACAACUGCUGUUGUUGAAACCACCACCACAGUUGGAAGUGGCACAACCGCAAGUCCAGAAACAACAGUUGUUACAUCCACACCAUCUGUUGUCACCACAACCGUAAAAGCUACAGGAUCAACAACGCAGGGAACCACAACCCAGCCUGGACAGACCACAGCUUCAAAAGAAACAACUGUAAGCACUAAGACAACACCAGGAACACAAGUCACCACUGGGCCAGUCACUGCCUCUACAACUGCUGUUGUUGAAACCACCACCACAGUUGGAAGUGGCACAACCGCAAGUCCAGAAACAACAGUUGUUACAUCCACACCAUCUGUUGUCACCACAACCGUAAAAGCUACAGGAACAACAACGCAGGGAACCACAACCCAGCCUGGACAGACCACAGCUUCAAAAGAAACAACUGUAAGCACUAAGACAACACCAGGAACACAAGUCACCACUGGGCCAGUUACUGCCUCUACAACUGCUGUUGUUGAAACCACCACCACAGUUGGAAGUGGCACAACCGCAAGUCCAGAAACAACAGUUGUUACAUCCACACCAUCUGUUGUCACCACAACCGUAAAAGCUACAGGAACAACAACGCAGGGAACCACAACCCAGCCUGGACAGACCACAGCUUCAAAAGAAACAACUGUAAGCACUAAGACAACACCAGGAACACAAGUCACCACUGGGCCAGUUACUGCCUCUACAACUGCUGUUGUUGAAACCACCACCACAGUUGGAAGUGCCACAACCGCAAGUCCAGAAACAACAGUUGUUACAUCCACACCAUCUGUUGUCACCACAACCGUAAAAGCUACAGGAUCAACAACGCAGGGAACCACAACCCAGCCUGGACAGACCACAGCUUCAAAAGAAACAACUGUAAGCACUAAGACAACACCAGGAACACAGGUCACCACUGGGCCAGUCACUGCCUCUACAACUGCUGUUGUUGAAACCACCACCACAGUUGGAAGUGGCACAACCGCAAGUCCAGAAACAACAGUUGUUACAUCCACACCAUCUGUUGUCACCACAACCGUAAAAGCUACAGGAACAACAACGCAGGGAACCACAACCCAGCCUGGACAGACCACAGCUUCAAAAGAAACAACUGUAAGCACUAAGACAACACCAGGAACACAAGUCACCACUGGGCCAGUUACUGCCUCUACAACUGCUGUUGUUGAAACCACCACCACAGUUGGAAGUGGCACAAACCGCAAGUCCAGAAACAACAGUUGUUACAUCCACACCAUCUGUUGUCACCACAACCGUAAAAGCUACAGGAACAACAACGCAGGGAACCACAACCCAGCCUGGAAAGACCACAGCUUCAAAAGAAACAACUGUAAGCACUAA